This 253-nucleotide ribosomal RNA is filed under the name uncultured bacterium. RNAcentral describes it as "partial 16S ribosomal RNA". It matches the Rfam family "Bacterial small subunit ribosomal RNA", at positions 524 to 776 of the family's 1533-position model. The record is from RNAcentral.
UACGAGUGGUGCAAGCGUUAUUCGGAAUCAUUGGGCGUAAAGGGUGUGUAGACGGUAUGCUAAGUCAGUUGUUUAAUUCUCCGGCCUAACCGGAGGCCAGCAGCAGAAACUGGUGUGCUAGAGGGUGGAAGAGAGGAGUGGAAUUCUCGGAGUAGCGGUAAAAUGCGUAGAUCUCGAGAGGAACACCAAUGGCGAAGGCAGCUUCUUGGUCCAUACCUGACGUUGAGACACGAAAGCGUGGGGAGCAAACAGG